RNAcentral lists this ribosomal RNA (498 nucleotides) under uncultured bacterium. RNAcentral's name for it is "partial 16S ribosomal RNA". It matches the Rfam family "Bacterial small subunit ribosomal RNA", at positions 28 to 506 of the family's 1533-position model. The record is from RNAcentral.
GACGAACGCUGGCGGCGUGCCUAAUACAUGCAAGUCGAGCGAAGUUUUUCUGGUGCUUGCACUAGAAAAACUUAGCGGCGAACGGGUGAGUAACACGUAAAGAACCUGCCUCAUAGACUGGGACAACUAUUGGAAACGAUAGCUAAUACCGGAUAACAGCAUUAACUGCAUGGUUGAUGUUUAAAAGUUGGUUUUGCUAACACUAUGAGAUGGCUUUGCGGUGCAUUAGCUAGUUGGUGGGGUAAAGGCCUACCAAGGCGACGAUGCAUAGCCGACCUGAGGGGGGGAUCGGCCACACUGGGACUGAGACACGGCCCAGACUCCUACGGGAGGCAGCAGUAGGGAAUCUUCCGAAAUGGGCGAAAGCCUGACGGAGCAACGCGGGGGGAGUGAAGAAGGAUUUCGGUUCGUAAAGCUCUUUUGUUAGGGAAAAAUGAUUGUGUAGUAACUAUACACAGUAGAGACGGUACCUAACCAAAAAGCCACGGCUAACUAAGG